UACAGAGGUGCCGAGCGUUAGGCGGAAUCACUGGGCUUAAAGCGUGUGUAGGCGGACGUCUAAGUACCUUGUGAAAUCCCACGGCUCACCCGUGGAACUGCUGGGUAUACUGGGCGUCUUGAGCCACCUAGGGGCCAGCGGAACAAAUGGUGGAGCGGUGAAAUGCGUAGAUAUCAUUUGGAACGCCAACGGUGAAAAACAGCUGGCUGGGGGGUGUGCUGACGCUGAGACACGAAAGCCAGGGGAGCGAACGGG
RNAcentral lists this ribosomal RNA (255 nucleotides) under uncultured bacterium. RNAcentral describes it as "partial 16S ribosomal RNA". It matches the Rfam family "Bacterial small subunit ribosomal RNA", at positions 524 to 776 of the family's 1533-position model. The record is from RNAcentral.